Molecule: small RNA, 686 nt
Filed under: Histoplasma ohiense
Lineage: Eukaryota; Fungi; Ascomycota; Eurotiomycetes; Onygenales; Ajellomycetaceae
Description: hypothetical lncRNA
Source: RNAcentral
CGUGAAGCUUCCACACCGUCUACAGCCAUGUCUUAACCACCCCCUAAGAAUAAUUACGCAAUUCCAAUAUCAGAGGCUCCCUCUUUGUACAUGUACAAUAUGCCGUUUGUACGCAAAUAGCCUUCCCUUGCCGCGGGGUCCAGGGGGAGAGCAGAUACUCUCUCGGCUCAGCUUAACUGUCCGGCAUCGUGGCGAUUUGUGCACAAUCUCGCUAAGCUGGCAGCCGCCAUAGAUAGUUCCUAGGGCUGAGGUAGAGGUGGUGAAGACGCGAGAGUGGCGGAGCGGAUUUUGAGAGGAGGGUUUUGGGUUUUGGAUUUUCUUCUUGUCGGAUUGGUGAUAGAUCUCUGCUCUCUUUCCCGUGCGUGGCUGGUUGGCUGGUUCCAGUUGAUAUUUAGUGGUGAAUACAGUUUUUGAUUUCGAGAUUCUUCAUCAGGAUAAGGGGGUGUCAAGCCACAAACGCUUCGAUGCUGCUUUGCAUUCUGAAUGUGCUAAAUAUUUCCCCAAUGAGAGAGGAUCUCGGUCGGUUGUAUUUCCCUUUUUCCCUUUUUCCCUUUUUCCCUUUCUCUUCUCUUCCCCCUGAUGAAGCAUUGAUCAAAAUUAUUCAACCAAAUUCUUAUUGUAGAAACUAUUCAUACUCAUCUUACCAUUUUCCUCACUGCUGCCUACUAACUAUAGUCUAUGAAGCA